This is a non-coding RNA of Musa acuminata subsp. malaccensis (wild Malaysian banana), 369 nucleotides long. The record is from RefSeq and is a predicted model, not a curated record. NCBI's taxonomy places the organism in Eukaryota, Viridiplantae, Streptophyta, Magnoliopsida, Zingiberales, Musaceae.
AAGUUCUUGAAGUCAAGCAAAGGUGGCGACAUUUUGGGGGAUGGCAUCAAGUGAAACUGCACUAAGUUCAUGAUGGACAAGGAUGGUCGUGUUGUAGGUCGCUAUGCCCCAACCAUAUCCCUUUUGAGUAUUUGAGAAGGAUAUCAAGAAGCUUUUGAGGCCUUCAUAAAUUACAUAUGCUUGCAGCCUCUGAUCUUGCUUGCACACUGCUGUAGUACAUAUGACCAUGACUAAAGUGUCAAUUGCUUAAAAGAUAAUAUGUUAAUCACAGAAAGGUUAGUCUAAUUAUAUAUCCGACCACGGGAGAUUUCAAAUAUGGAAUUAAGGAUUCUGGAGACAAGAGAAUGAAAAUUAUAAUUUAUACAUUCA